AUGACCUGCCGCCCUCUUUCCCCAUUCUCUCAGUUUUCUUUCAAUUAUGCAAACCCCAUCUAUCCAAAACCAUGGAUAAAUUUGUGCAAGGUCACCUAAAUAAAACCAAAUCACCCCUUUUGUCCCCCUCAAUUCGUGAAUCCCGCCGGAUUCUUUAUAUUUUCACCACCCUAAUUCAAAUUCCCAAAUCUCCGAAACCCUAGACCUAAAAUGUAAAAAUGAGAAUACCAUCCUUUUUCCGUUCCUUCAAAUCAAGCAUGCAUGGCCAUCGAUCUUCAAUCUCAUCAUCAUUAUUCAUUGUCCAAAGGUGAAACACAAUGACCUCUAGACAUGGAGCUCUUACCGAUUGUCCUUCACUCUUAAAACGGUCGACUCCUCCUCCAUUAUCAUGCUAAUAUAAAUUCCUACUGUUUUUUCCCUCUCUUCUCUUCUGAUUUUCCCCUUCUUGCUAUCAUUAUAUAUCAAUCGUCAUUCUCCACUAUCUAUUGAACUCAAACGGAACCCUAGUGACUUGAAUGCCACUAUAAACAGAGCAUUGAAUACUCACACCUAAUACACCUAACAACACUGGAAAAUACACUAAAAGUAAAGAAGAUCAUAAAAAUUUAAACUUUCUACUAAGCUUAAGUUCCAGUAGUACUUAUCUACUUUUCCUUUUUCUUACUUUCAUUUCUAUUCAAGUUCAGGCACUGUGAGCUGAUCGUUGUGAGUUUGGGGUUCCUAGACGGCUACUAAUCUCAUUUGCUUGGUUUGUUAUUCCGCAGAAGGUCAGUGUAUACUGACCCCAUCUCUUUUAUUUUUUAAAUCAGUUAUACAAUUUUAUGUUUAUGUUGUUUACCUAAUAAUCUCCUGUUUGUUCAUGAUAAUGUGUGGUUUUUCUUGUUAUAACCUAAUAUUCAUGUCACUGUGUAAUUUGAAUGUUAGUGUUUUUUUCCUGAUAAUUGUGUUGUCUUCAAUGGCUAUUGAACUUUACAUAUCAUGACUUAUUUAGUAAAAAUGCUUUCUUGUUGUUGUUACUCUUAUGGACAAAUCAUGUUGAUACUUUUAUGAUUAUCUAUCCCUGUUAGUUAAAUGAUGGCCAUCCUACCCUAGGAGCGCUUAUCGGACGGAUAAUUACCCUUAACGGUUCGGCUUAUCGAUUAUCAGAUUAUAAAUGUAGUAAUCUGCUAGCCAUCCAAUAAGACAAUGGGCAUAUUGAUAUUGGAUUAACGAUUAUCGGGUAAUUGUCGAGCGGUUUAUCGGCUAAGUCGAAUAGAAUUUUUUUGAACAAUCCUAGUCUUAUGAAUACCAAAUGGUCAAACCUGAUAAAGUGACUCGACUUCCUCGUUAGUAUGUACUACACUUUAGUUUACCAGGAUUGUUAACAUUUAUUGCGAUAUGAUAGAAUCUAUUAACACUUUGUAGUUUAUACUGCACUAAUGCACUUAUUAUAAGUAUUUCUUUUGGUUGCAUAGCUAAUUGUUUCAUGUCAAAAAAAAAAAGAAAGACUGAAAAUUGGUCAAACUGAUUGAAAACGUAUAUACAAUCAAGCAUGUACAUCUAGGUGGUGUGUUUAUAUAUAAAUCCGUUUGAAGUCUUAAGAGGAAGUAGAUCCAUAUAAAGUUAAUAGGCAUAAUUAAAGAUAUAUAUAUGUUAGUGGGGGUAUAAUUUGCCAUAUGACGAUGGAUUGGCCUCAUCAAUCAAAGCUGCAUAGUUCACUGGCUUUUAUACCUUUCCAUUGUGGGACUCCAUAUGAGGACUUCCAUUGUUCUUGAUUUCACUAGUUGGUUUGGUGAUUAGAUUACUCUUAAUUGGUCCUUUACAUGUGUUACCCCCAUGAAGCUAGUGUCCAGGAUCAUCAAUUCAUCAGUCCGAAGCAACAACCAAAGCUAAAGGAUGUCAGACAAGUCAUGUGGCGAAAAGUCAGUUAGGGUUUCAAUAGUACUUUAUAUAUAUAGGGGUAAAAGUGUAAAUAUAAAAAUUCUUAACGGGUUAACGGUUUAUCCAAUAAUAAAAUUGAGUAACCCGCCCCAAACCGUUAAGCCGUUAAUUAUAAAAUCUCAAUCUAUUUACCAACUAUUACCCCGAUAAUCCGAUACCAAUAAGCCAAUUAGCCAUCGAUUCGGUUUGGUUAACGGUUACGGUUCAAUUUUGAACAACCCUAUCCUACCCUAUUAGCUAAAUCGAUUGUGUUAUAUUUUUAAGCUUUCUCCUGAUAUUCUAUUAAGAACUCACACCUUCUGCACUGUGCUAUCUUGAUCCUUAUGCCUAUGAUAUCAUACUGCAUUGUUUCAGUUCAAUAAAAUGAUUCUCACCACUAUUCACACUCUCAUGUUGAUCUAUUUGACUCCAAAUUGAUAACUUGUUUAUGAUAUACUGUGAUAAAAUGAUUCAUGAGUUUAUUGUGGUGGUCUGAAAUAAAAUAAAUCAUAUAAUGAAACUUGUUGGUCUACUCACAUAUCUGGAUGCAACUUGUUAGGAUCAAUUAUGCAAUGAGUGUCACUAUUUUACUAUCUCAUGACUGUUUGAGCUUUGUGAUUGUAGCUAUGUGUCAUCUAUAUUGCUGUAUUGGGUCAAUGAUACCUAUUUGACUUUUUCACCUAUGUCUACACUUAUCUUGUUGUUUCUACUGAUCCAGUAGUGUUCAGGAACUAUUGCAUGCCUUUAUCUGGAAAAAAAAAAUGGUUUGCAUGUUAUCAUGAUAAUCUAAUGAAGGUGUGGGUACAUCAUAACCUAGGGGUACCACAGUAGUCCUACUUGUCCAUUUAAAAUGAUGUUCUACAUUCAUAUACCUGUUUGGUUUUGGCCUUUUAUGUUUGGUUCUUUCAUGAUCAUGUGAUGUCUGAGACAUUAUUUGGGAAGACUUCCCUUGUCAAUUUGAGUAAUUGCUUACUUUGGUAACCUAAUAGCUUGACUGAAUGUUGUUGAACAUGUACUAUGCCCGUAGGAUCUAAAAUGGAAUUUUUGUUGGUGUAACCUAUUAGUAAAAUUACUUACAUGUUUAAGUCAACUUGUUAUGAUAUGUUUGUCAUGCUUUAACAAAGUGAGAAUGAAUAUCUCUACUUACUGUCUCAUGUCUGUUUGACAUCACUAUGUAUAGAAGAACUUAAUCAUGAAUCUAAGUGCUAUUUGGGUCUCGCAAUUUGAAAACUUAUUAGACUUUACACUGUCACAACUAUAUAUCAUGCCCAUUAGGUAUGAAGAAAAUUAAAAUUAUCUUUCCCAUGUAUUUUGAUGUCUCUGCUGAUCUGAUUGGUUGGCAUAUUCUUUGGGAAGUCUGGGUGAAGUUAUUAGCCUAAGUGUUUAAUGAUGUGAGGUAUUCGUUGGACGUAUGCUUGCUCUGCUCUGUGCUGAAACUAUUAGGAUACCUGUGAAUUGUUCUUGUGACCUAAACCUACUUAAGGGAGUUCUGAAGCAUUGAGCCUUUAGUAGAAUCAAUGGAACAAAAGCAUGUUCCCAUCUCUAUAAGUUACUAAUAAUUUAGAUUGCCUAAUAACACUUCUGAGCUUGGAGUUAUAAGUAAUAAAGCAUGUCUGUUUGCAAUCAAUUACCUGUGUUUGUGAUUCUGCCUGAGUAUGUCCUAGCAGUGACUCUAUACAUAUUGUGAUGUCUUAGGGCCCUUGACAUUGUUGUCACUUUAAUAAUCCACAUGUGAUGCCAUGUCUCUAUACUCAUUCUGAUAUAAGUGUUCCCAGGUUGAUGUUGUGUUGAUUAUGAGUUACUCAUGCCUUUGUACUAUGAAGAUACUUGUGAUAUCUUAUAUAACUGUUUGUUAUUGAUACCUCUGUGUGGAGGAACCUUUUGCAUUUGACCUUUUAUAUUAUGUACUAAUUGAAACUGGUAAGUUGCCACUUUGUUUGUGUCCAAGCCUUUGAGGAAGAGUAAAAGUUGAUGACCAAAGAUAUUUUGGUGUGAGCUUGAUUUAUGGUUGAGGUAUCCCUCCCCGGUACAAGCACUGCUCAGGGUCCAUGAGACCACUGUGAAUUCUAAAGUAUCAAGUGUCCAUAGGGAGAUUUCAUCUAUAAAUAUGGUUCACUCUAAGUCCUUGGUCACUAACUUUAAUUAAUCCUCAUAGGGUUAGCACAAAUAAAAAAGGCUUUACUGUGUUCCUUAGCUCUUUAUUAUUAUUAAUUUUUAAAUUUUGUCUUACCUUAUCUUAUCUCGACAUACACUAAUUAUUUCCUUGUUUUGUUUUUAUGCAUAUUCGAAUUGGCCGUGCUGAGUCCAUUUAGAGCUCAGGCCCAAGUUCAGGAUCCAGGCCAUUUCCUCUUCACCUGCUGAGUCCAUCGUUGAUACCGCUGGGCCUGGUUUUCUUACCGACCCGAUCAUUAAGAGUCCAACUCUCUUUUAUUUUACCCUUAAGUGAUAGUCAUUAUUAUUUGCUACUUUAUAUAUAUCUUUGGAACUAACCUUAUCAUUGAAUAAUCUUUUGAUAUCUUGAUUGUUUAGGAAACAUAGGUAAAUCAAGACUUAUAGAUUCGAAAACAAAAGCAAAGUUCCCUUGGAAAAACAUCAAGUGGAUCACGUAUAAUACAAAUAACAGUUUCAAAAAGAAAUAAAAGCACCCAUAUAACUGGGGUUGCAAGAAACAACAAACAAGUUUGAAAAUGCAAAGGCCUUCUACCAAAGCAGUUUUCUAAAACAAACAAGGUAUAUCCGUUUCCACCAAAAACAUAUUUUUUUCAAGGUAAUCGUUUGUUCUAUAAGUUAUCAAGUCUCACAAACAUAUAUCACACUUUUAAAAGGAAAUACACGACCUUUUACCAAAAAAUAAGUUUUCAAACAAGACCUAAAAUAUUUUUCAUAAAUCUUACUUAGAAACUUUAACCACUAAGCAACCAGAAUAUAGACCUUUCUUUUCCCAAACCUAGCCUAAGUUUAAGGAACUACCUUAGGUAGAUUUUAAGGGAUGCCUAACCCCUUCCCCUUAGAAUAACUAGAAACCUUAUCUAAAUCUCACCAGUUAGCAGACCAUUAGGAUACUAAUUAUCAUAGACUUAUAGGUACCCUAGUAUACCUUAAAUAUUAGGUGGCGACUCUCUUUUAUCAACUUUGAAGAAUCAUUAGUUGUAUUUUGUUUUGACCUGUGCAAAGUAAGGUGCAUCAACAUGGUGACUCCACUAGGGAUUUACACUUAGGUUCUGACCUUAGCGGACUUAGGCUAGACUUGAACUUUGGGAUUUUUGUUAUAAUCUGCUUUAAUUACAUUUAACCAUCAAAUAUUUGUUUACUCAUUUUAUCCUAUUUGUUUACACUUUAUAUGAAUUUAUAAAUAUGUUUAUCUAUCUGUUGCUAAUAUUCAUAAUUAUUUAUUAUUGCUUUAUACACUAUCAUCAUAUUUUUCCAAUCGAGUCUUGACUGUACACAAUCACACACAAUCUCACACAAGGGUUGUCUUUUCACCCAUCUAAAACCUUUUUUCAAAACUCUAUAGUUUCAGAGAAUGACCUUGUCAAGCCAACUGACAUAACGUCUCCCAGUUAUUCAAUCCAAAUCCAAAAUUUAGGAAACACUCUACUCCUAGUGACAUAGGUCAUGCUGCAUAAACCCUAGGUGGGUCGAUCCUUGGUAUUGACUCACAAUUAGGAAAAUCCACCGUAAUGUCAACAUGUUAUUCACCCAACGACAUGCCCUCUAUGGAAUGACAAAUCAAUCCAAAUAAGACACUAAGGAUUUAGAGCAAAAAUACUUACCAAGCCUUUUACCCCUUUUAGAUGGAAAUCAACCGCAACGUCCCGAAAAUAAGCAUGGUCAUGGGAGAACCUCACAAAUUGAAGCAGUAGUGGAGGAAUAACCUACGAGAACACGGAGAUAAAAUCAGAACGCAUCUGGGAGCACUGACUGCACUAAUGAACAUCCGAGCGGACAGGGUACUCACCAAGUUAUUGAUAGAGUUAUGGGACCCAACCAAGGUGGUCUUUAAGUUUGUUGAUUGUGAGCUGACACCAACACUCGAGGAAGUUACCAGUUUCACUGAGUUACCAUCCGCCAGAUGGAAUCCUAUACUGUCGGUCAUCAUGUCAGGCCAUAGGUUCCUCCACGCACAGGGCUUGAGGAGCAACAAGAACUUGAGAAAUAUCGAGGAUGGAUGGAUGAGCCUGGACCUGUUAUUUGACAUAUUUUGGCAUCGGGAGGGCUAUGAUUUGCAUCUUUAGUAAUUCCAGUGUGAUCAAGCGACAUGGGAGAGCCUUCUCCCCCUCACCUUUUCUCUAACAUUGUUAGGACUUCUAGUUUUCCUACAAAGGAAGGGGCAUAUCAAUAUCAAAAGAAGGCUCCAGGAUGAGUGGAAUGACCAGAUCACAAUGGGUAUAGGGCAAAACUCAUGGUGCACGCCCGAGUAUUUUGUGUGGAUCAAUGAAGAAGAUGAAUUGGCCAGGCUCAGUAGGGAGGGAUUAGCUGGAUUAGAGAACUCAGUAGCAGCCUUACAGAUAUACCACGAGAUCCUGCCUCACUAUCUUGUCACCACUACCAUGCAUAAACAUUUAGUUCUGGGAUCAGUCGACCAUAUGCUACCGCUACUGGAUGAUGACAACCAGAUAAUUGAAUACAUACAGAUCGAGUCUGAGAUAGAACCAAAGGAGGAUCUAGAAAAGAAACCAUAGUACAACCAUGAUGAGGAUGGGAGGAGGUUGAAGAGGAUGUUUAGGAAGAUCCAGAAGAAGAGAGUUUGGGAGGAGACUCCGAGGACGACUAUUAAAUUGUUGGUUGAUUUCCUUCUUGUACCUUUCAUUCCCUAUGGAAGAUUCUAUAAGCCCAUGCAACCUUUGUAAACCAAAGAAAACCAUAUUGUAGCCAGCAAAAAUUGUCCUCCCAUCUUUAUAUCAGUAAUGAAGCCUUGUUACCCACUCGUAACUAGCAAAUUGCAUCAAUGAAAAAUUAAGUUUGCUACGGAUCCUAAUGUGUCAAAAUCUGUUUGUUUGUCAUAAGCUCGCGAUAUAGGCCUACUUUCAACAAAGAGAGGUCCUUAAAUAUUUUAGGAACGUGCUUGUUUGAAUAUGUGGACUAACUGCUCUAUGUGAUUAUAUCUAUGCAAUCCCUGAAACUAACUUUUAUUUUCUUUUCUUUCCUGCUUUAUUGCUUUAUUUAUUUAUCCCUGAAACAUAGGUUGAUUUGUGUUGAUAUAUAAACUACCCGAGCCACUAUAUAACCUAAGGUCCAAAAGGAAGAUCACUACUAUAGAUGACUUGACUAGAAAUGCUUUGGUGGUCGCCGAUAACCCAGGGGGAUCAAAGGGAAGGGAUGAAAUUCGGAAUGACAAAUGGAACAAGAGAUGGAGUCAUUAAUGAAGGAGGUACAACAAAUCUGGGAGUUGGCACACCUGGACAUGCCGACGCUUCCACAACCACAUCCUUUUCCAUCACUAGAUUCAAUCCCCGACCACUUUUCUUCAUCAACCUGACAACCUACUAAAAUCCUGACUACUAUCACCACAAACCCCGCCAUUACUCAAGUCAUACCGCAGUGAUACCUGCAAAUGCACCAAACCCUCAUAUACAUACACAUUAUGUUCCCAAUUAUGCUCAAGCUCCACAAAUUCUGCCGACUACGACCAAUUUGAUCCAAACCCCUCCUCAUGACAAUGUCACUUUCCCUAACAACCACACACAGUAUAUACCUAUGGCACACACCGCCACCCAUGAGCGGUAUGUUCCACCCAUAUAUAGCGCAUCUGAGCCUACUUUUACCGUGCCCAUCACGGUCAGAAUUACCUUAUGAGAUAGAGCAAUAUGGUGAAAUGGAAAGAGAGGGAAAGUCCAAAGAGGAUGAAUCAUUGUCUGAAAAACUACUGGUACUAAGGAUACAAAUGAAGAACCUGCAAGUUGCUCGAGGGAGCAAGAUCUUGGAUUUUGAAGACCUAUGCAUACACCCUGAUGUUGAUAUGCCAACAGGGUACAAGCCCCCGAAGUUUGAUAUCUUUGAUAGAACAGGUGAUCCCCACGCUCACUUGAGGGCGUACUAUGACAAGUUGGUGGCAGUAGGAAGAAAUGAGAAGUUGAGGAUGAAACUGUUUAUAAGAAGUCUGACUGGGGAAGCACUCACUUGGUACCUAGGCAGGACCCCAUGAACUGGAAAGAAUUGUAAGAUAUGGUUGAAGAUUUUAUGAAUCGCUUCAGAUUUAACACUGAAAUCACCCCAGAUAGGUUCUCUUUGGUAAACCUAUAGAAGAAGCCCUCUGAGUCAUUUCAAGUAUAUGCUCGUCGUUGGAGGUCAGAGGCAGCUAGAGUACAAUCUGCGCUGGACGAUAACGAGCUGACCAAAUAUUUUAUCCAUGCUCAAGAAGGAAUCUACUUCGAAAAGAUGAUGGGAAUGAUGGGCCAGAAGUUCCCCGAGCUAGUCAAGAUGGGAGAUUUCCAGGAAGAAGGUAUUAAGUCAGGGAAGAUACAGCCAGUGGCCACGCUACAAGCUACUAGUAAGGCUAUAUAGUCCGGUUCUAUCGGUAGUGGAAAGAAGAAGAUAGAAGAGGUGACGACAAGUGUUCCCAAUUAUCAACAAAGUCCUCCUCGUUGAACCAAUGCCUACCCCGCAAACACUGAUCCUCCAAACCAACCCACUUAUACCCUAGUAUUUAACGCCCAACCAUACUACAAUACCCUACCCCACUACAACCCACACAGAGCCAAUAUACACCUAAAAUCACCAUGACCAUAUGCUCCCGUUCAAACCACCACCCACCACAAUAGACCCGCAUAUGCUCCCAAACUACGUCCAAACUUUGAAGCAAGAAACCCUAGAAAUUUCACUCCAAUUGCUGAGCCUUUAGCCCAAUUAUUUGACAGGAUGAGAAGAGCCGGACUGAUAUACCCGGUGGAGGGAAGAAUCCCUGACCAAUCCACCAAACAUUUCGACGCAAGCAAUGCACCUCCUCAGGCACGACAUCGAGGAUUGUUAUGGUUUAAAGAAUGAGAUUUAAAAUGCUGAUUAAGAGUGGAGGUAUCCAAUGCACCCCAGCUCCACCGAAUGUAAGCCAUAACCCACUACCAAACCACAGAAACCAAAGAGCCAACACGAUUACCUUGGAGAAAGACUAUGAAUUAAAAGGGACUAUUACCGAAGCAACAAGGACACCUCCUUGGGCAACUCCAUUGAUCACCGUAUAACUAAAACCCCCUAUGAUGGUUCAAACAUACCAACAACGGCCCGUCGUAGCCAUUAGAGAUGAAGGGAAUCAAGAGUAUAAAGAAGUUUUGUGGACUUAUUAGUCAAAAGGAAAAGGCAAGAUGACAGAUACAGUAACCGCUUGUGGUAUGACUAGGUUUGGAAAGGGCUACACUCUAGAAGAAGUGAAUUGACGAAAUCCGAAUAGGGAAUAGAAUUAGAGGAGAAACAUAAAUGAUGUAGAGGCAAAAGCGUUCUGGAGGAAGAUGCCAGUUAUAGAAUACUCUAUAGAAGAGCAACGGAGGAAGACCCCUGCCCACAUAUCAAUUAUGGACAUGUUGAUGAGUUCCGAUAGUCACAGGGAAGCUCUGGUAAAGGUGCUAAGUAGGGUGAGUGUGCCAGACAAUACCACCAGCGAGAUACUAGGAGCAACUAUUGGGAAGAUGGUGGAUGCGAACAAGAUUUCCUUUUGGAAAGAUAAACUUCCUAUGGAGGGAAUGGAUCACAACAAGUGUCUACAUAUCACUUUCAAGUGUGGAGACAAAGUCGUAUCUCGAGUACUUGUCGAUGGGGGAUCUGGAGUAAACAUUUGUUUGUUCUCCAUGUUGCAGGAAUUAGGCAUCCAUUUGAGGGAAGUAAAAGAAAGCCAUGUGAGAGUGAAGACUUUUGAUGGGUCACAAAAAGAUGUCAUCGGUGAAAUCUACAUAGCCUUGCAAAUUAGACCAGCUGAGUUCCCGAUAUUGUUUAGGUGUUGGACAUCUCGUCUUCAUACAAUCUGCAACUAGGAAGGCCUUGGAUACACAUGGCAGGGGCAAUUCCUUGCACUUUCCAUCAGUGUAUGAAAUUCAAAUGGUAUUUCCAGGAAAUUGUGAUACAUGGGGAAUGGAGCCGGUCAGCUUAUUUGGAACACGUGGUUCCUUUUAUAGAAGGAUUGGAUGGGAUUACUUUCCAUGCAGUCGAGAUCAUGCAUGCAACAGAAAUAGGGAAGAGUGAACAAGGUCACAAGAUGAAAUCAGCAUAUGGGUACAUACCAGGAUACGAGUUUUGAGCCCAGUCAGAUGGGAUAACUGAGCCAAUUCAACCUAAGGGGAAAACCUACAACUAGAAGAACCUACAAUGGUAACCUUGGGAAGAAGGUUUUCGUACUAGAGCAUGUUCUAGGCACGGGUUAGAGCUUAACACAAGAAGAGGAUAUUAUCGACGGGAUGUGAAGAUUGUUCAUGUCAAGACACCAACAAUUCGGGAUGCCGAACUAGAAGAGACCUUGUAGAACUGGACAGCCAAUACAUCUCUAGUUCAUCAGGAGUCUUGGUAGUGCGAAUUGUAGUAAUUUUGAAAACUGCAUGGUUAAUUAAGGCUUGAACUAUGCCUGUGCUUUUUUGUUAAAUCGCUUCUUUGAACACUAAGACAUUCCUUUUGAUGAAAUAAAAGAAUUAUUUUCUUGAAAAUCAUUGCAAAUCUAUAUGUCUUUAUUCAAACUCAAUUUUUCAUUUCAACAAUCAAAUUAAUAAAAAAUCAUGUUCCGCGAUUAUGACAUGUAACAAAACCUUCGAGCAAAAUAAUCCGGACUACGAAAAGUACGACGAGAGUAUGAUGCCCGAGAAUCUACCGCAAGAAAUCGAACAGCUAGAAAGUCAGAAGAAGCCUAACCUCGAGGAAUCAGAGGUAAUCAAUCUGGGAAGUAAAGAAAAUGUCAAAGAAAUCUGAAUCAGCAUCCACCUGAAGGUAGAACAGAAGGAAAACUUGGUAAAGCUCCUCCGACAAUACAUCGAUGUAUUUGCCUAGUCGUAUGACGACAUACCUGGAUUAAGUAUUGACAUCGUCUCGCAUAGAUUGCCCACCGAUCCUGCCAAGCCACCAUUCAAGAAGAAACCUAGAAAAUUCAAGCCAGAUUUGUGUCUAAGGAUCAAAGAAGAAGUCACCAAACAGAUAGAAGCAAAUGUGGUAAGGGUCACCAAUUACCCUACCUGGUUGGCGAACAUCGUACUAGUGCCAAAGAAGGACGGGAUGAUUAGGAUAUGCAUGGAUUACCAAGAUCUCAACAAAGACAGUCCCAAGGACGACUUUCCUUUACCAAAUAUCCAUAUUUUUAUUGACAAUUAUGCAAAACAUGAAUUGGAAUCAUUCGUGGACUGUAUUGCUGGAUAUCACCAGAUUCUAAUGCAUGAAGAGGAUGCAGAGAAUACAACAUUCACCAUUCCAUGGGGAGUAUAUUGCUACAAGGUCAUGCCAUUCUAUAUCAAGAAUGCCGGUGCCACCUACAUGAAGGCCAUGAUGACCUAUUUUCAUGACAUGAUCCAUAAAGAGAUUGAAGUAUAUGUGAACGACGUCAUCAUCAAAUCACGUAACAAUGCAGAUUAUUUUAGCAGUUUGAGUAAGUUCUUCAAAUGGUUGUGAAGGUACAAUUUGAAGCUGAAUCCUACGAAGUGUGCAUUUGGAGUUCCCGAAUAAUUUGAAGUUGAAUCUUGCAAAGUGUGCAUUUGGAGUUCUCGCGGGAAAACUAUUAGGUUUCAUUGCCAUCAGAAAGGGGAUAGAGUUAGACUCCUCGAAGAUCAAGGACAUUCAAGACUUUCUUCCUACCAAAAGCAAGAAGUACAUGAUGAGCUUCCUCGGAAGAUUGAAUUACAUCAGCAGUUUCAUAGCCCAAUCAACAGUAAUCUGUGAACCGAUUUUCAAGUUAUUGAAGAAAGAUGCCGCUAUGAAGACUAUCAGAAAGCUUUCGACAAAAUCACAGAAUAUUUGUUGAGUCCACCAGUACUGGUUCCUUCGGAACCUGGGAAGCCGCUGCUACUAUACUUGUCCGUCUUGGAUAAUGCAUUCGGAUGCGUUUUGGGACAACACAACGAGACUAGAAAGAGGGAGCAAGCUAUAUACUACAUGAGUAAGAAGCUCACACCAUAUGAAGCCAGAUAUACCUUGUUUGAGCGAACCUGUUGUGCUUUAACUUGGAUCGCUCAAACUUUAAGACGUUACUUGUCGGCAUAUACCACAUAUUUAAUAUCCAGGUUCGACCCGCUCAAGUACAUCUUUUAGAAGCCGAUGCCUACAGAAAAGUUAGCCAAAUGGCAGAUUCUUCUCAGUGAGUUUGACAUCGUGUACAUGACACAUAAAGCUAUCAAGGGACAAGCAUUGGCCGAUCAUCUCACAGAAAACCCGGUGGAUAAGGACUAUAAUCCACUUACCACAUAUUUCAUAUAUGAAGAGGUGCUAUUCACUGGGGAAGAUAAUUCAAAGUCAUACUCAAGGUAGAGGAUGUUUUUCGAUGGAGCUGCAAAUUUCAAAGGAGUAGAAAUUGGGGCAGUCUUAAUCUCCGAAUCAGGACAACAUUAUCCGAACGCAGCUAAGAUAAGGUUCCCCUGUACAAAUAAUAUGACAGAAUACGAGGCGUGCAUCCUUGGGAUUAGGAUGGCAGUCGACAUGAACGUUAAGGAACUUUUGGUCAUAGGGGUUCUGAUUUGAUGAUCCACCAAGUUCAGGGAGAAUGGAUCACUAAGAAUAUCAAGAUCCUUCCAUACAUGCAUUGUGUAAGGGAAUUAUGCAAGAAGUUUACCAAGAUCGAGUUCAAGCACGUUCCCAUAAUCCAUAAUGAGUUCAUAGAUGCUCUCGCAACUUUGUCAUCCAUGAUUUAACACCCGAACAAGAAUUGCACCGACCCCGUCGAGAUAGAGAUUCAAGACCAGCAUGCAUAUUGUUUCCACAUAGAGAAGAGAUAGAUGGAAAGCCUUGGUACCAUGGCAUCAAAAGAUUCCUCGAGGAAAGAGAGUAUCCAUAGAGUACUACUAAUGGUCAAAAGCGAGCAUUGAGGAGACUAGCAAAUCACUUCUUCCUUAACAGGGAAGUCCUCUACGGGAGGACCCCGGACUUGGCUAUGUUAAGGUGUGUAGAUGCUACUGAAGCAAUAAGAUUAUUAGAAGAAAUACAUGCAGGAACAUGCAGGCCUCACAUGAACGGUUUCACUCUAGCCAAAAAGAUUCCGAGGGACGGAUACUUUUGGAUGACUAUGGAAAGGGACAACAUUCAAUACGUACAGAAGUGUCACUAGUGUCAAAUUCACGGGAAUUUCAUCCGGGUUCCGCCAAAUGAGCUAAACAUAAUAGGUUCUCCUUGGCCGUUCUUCGCUGGGGCAUGAAUGUAAUCGGACCUAUAGACCCAGCCACAUUAAAUGGGCAUCAUUUCAUUUUGGUAGCCAUCGAUUACUUCACUAAAUGAAUCCAAUCUUCCACAUACAAGGCUGUCACAAAGAAGGUGGUGGAAGAUUUCAUCCAUAACAACAUAGUCUUCCGAAUUGGGAUCCUAGAGUCAAUCAUAACUGACAAUACAACCAAUCUCAAUAGCGAUCUCAUAAGGGAAAUUUGCGAGUAGUUCAAAAUCAUCCAUCAUAAUUUCAUAGCAUACAGGCCGCAGAUGAUUGGAGAAGUUGAAGCAGUCAAAAAAAACAUCAAAAUGAUCUUGCAAAAGAUAGUAGACAAUCACAUGCAAUGGCAUGAGAAAUUAUCAUUUUCCCUGCUUGGUUACCGCACUACUAUGAGGACAUCUACUGGGGCAACGACAUACAUGUUGGUAUAUGGAACAGAACCUGUAAUUCCCGCGGAGGUCUAGAUACAAUCUUUGAGAAUCAUAUAGGAAGCCAAGUUAGAUGAUCCAGAGUGGAUACGUGUUAGAAAAGAACAACUUAUGCUCAUCGAUAAAAAGAGGAUAGACACAGUGUGUCAUGGUCAGCUGUAUCAAAAUAGGAUGGACAAUGUAUUCAAUAGGAAAGUGAAACCUUGGCAAUUCACACAGAGGUAGUUGGUUUUGAAUAAAAUAUUCCCCCAUCAAGAAGAAGCAAAAGGGAAGUUCGCGCCAAAUUGGCAGGGUCCUUAUGUGGUUCACCGAGUAUUGUCAGGAGAAGCACAAAUCCUAGCAGAAAUGGAAGACAGAGUAAGUAUGAAGCUCAUCAAUUUAGAUGCAAUCAAGAGAUACUAUAUUUAAAGACAAUAGAGUUAGGUUUAUUGAAACAGAAAUACGCUCGACCUGACUUCCCAUGGUAGGAUACGUAGGCAACCCGCGUAGAGCCCAAUCCCACUCUUGUAAUAGAAAGCCAAAAGAUGUUUUCCAUGUAUUCGGAACUGCACUAUGACUUGAUUUCCUUUGGAAGGAAUACGUAGGCAAUCCAUAUCGAAUUCAUCCAUUUAUUGUAAUCGAACUACGUUUUUACCUAAUUCCAUUUGGAUACGUAGGCUGUGUGAGUCAGACUCGGCCAUAUAAUUUCAAAAUUCUAUCAUUCUGCAUAUAUUGUAAUCGAACUACAGUUUGGCCCGAUUCUAUUUGGAUACGUAGGCUGCCUGAGUCAGGUUCAAUCAUUUCAUCACUUCGUUAUUUCAUAUCCUCAAACUACGUUCAGACCUGAUUCUGUUUGGAUACGCAGGCAACAUGAAAAGGUUCGGUCAUAACCUUAGGAAAAGCCUCUAUAAUGCAUUGCCUAGAUUAGGAAGUAAAUACGUCAGCAGGAAACUGCGUCAUCAGGGGAAUAUCCAUAAAAACAACAUCAGCAAAGUCAAGCUAUCUAGAAACGAUACUCGCAUCAGAAGGGGCGACUAAACAUGUCAUAAUCCAGAAUGACAGCGUUUUCCAUAAACAUAAGUGAUUUUGCAAAAUAAUUUUUAAGAAAAUUCUACUUUUCCACCUAUCGAACUUCGUGGCAUAAUUCACUAGAUUCGGGGCAAGACCAGGUCCACAAUCAACACAAAUCAACGCUCCUCCCCUAAUAAGAAUUUUUCUUUGAGUGCAGGAUUGAAAGGAAUCAAGGGAUGCCAGAUCACACCGGAGUCAACACUAGACCCGCUACAACCUCAUGAGCCAUAUCUCACCUUUAUUAUUCAAUUCAUUUUUCAUAUAGCUAAGGACUAACUUUGAAUUCUUUGCAGGUAUCCCGGAACCAAGCCUCCGACGCCAUUGGAGCACCUUAUAUAUAUCGAACCGUCUGCUCUUCCCAUUGGAGCAUCUUAUACAUAUCAAACCGUCUGAUCCACCAAUCAGAGCACCUUGUACAUACCAAACUAACUGCCCCGCUAACCUAAGCGCUUUGUACAUACCGCAUCGUCUGCUCUACCAAUCAGAGUACUUUGUACAGAUUGCACCGUCACUCCGUCAAAUUGGAGAUACCAAAUAGAUCAUUGCAAACCUCAUCUCUAACUUCCCCAAUCGAAGGAUAGGCCAUGCAAUUUCAUCACACGUUCCGCCGUUCGAAGACCACAAUUCGUUCUGCAAUCAAGAGUACCUCUUGGCAUGCUCAUUUAUUUCUCUGCUUUUACCUUGAAUAUAUUGACGUUUAUUUAUGCAGCCUACAUGUAUUUUACCUUCAAAGUUAAAAUACUCUCAUCGCGUGGAGAUUUAAAUUCAAAGUCAAAUACUCCCAUUGCGAGGAGAUACUCCCAUCGCGUGGAGAUUCAAAUUCAAAGUCGAAUAUUCCUGUCGCAAGGAAAUUCAAUGCCGAAUACUCCCAUCGCGUGGAGAUUCAACUUCUUUGACAGCUGCGGAAUGGUACACAGCCCGGCUAAGAUUCAAGUUAGAUUCACACACCCAUCCCGACAUCCCAAAUAAUGCUCCAGAGCUCGGAGACUUCAGAUUCAGACAUCCCAUCGCCCAAAGAUCCCAAAUAACGGCUAGCCGGUAGCCAUGCAUUAUCAUUCCUGGAUAUUUACAUUAUAUUCUAACGUAUUUGUAUUAUUAUAUAUAGGUAUGUGUGUAUCAUCCUUUUUGCAGGUUCAAACACUACAAUGUGGAACUUCCUCUAAGCAGCAAACCAAGUUACACCGCUAUGAGGGACAACAAACUCAUAAGAGAGCCAAAGAUCAAAACAUGCCUAAAGUCAGGAAACAAUUGGUUAUUAAAUCAAUUUAUUUUCCCACAAGCUCUUUCAUCAUCUCUGGCCAAAGAGGGGCAGCUGUUAACUACCAAUUUUGACCCUCCCCUUUUAAAUUUAGUCGCUUACACUUAUUAAUCAAUAAUAUAUGUAGUAACAAAAUUUCAAAUUAAUAAUACCUAUUUUCUCAAAAUAUAAAUGGUAUGAUAAGUAUAAUAGUUGUUAGUAAUAUUAAUUCGGUAAUUAACAGUAAUUUAAUUUUAAUUAUUUAUUAUUUUACUACUCCUACUGCUUUAAUCAAUUAAAAUAACUUUUACAAUCUAAUAAACAAGUAUUACAAUUAAUUUAAUAAUUUAGUCCCAAAUUUGUAACUAUAUUAUCUUUAUUACUUUAACUAGCCGAAAUUAGUUUUUACAAUUUAAUAGAAAAAGUAUUCAAAUUAAUUUUGCUAACCAAUUAAUUACAGUAAUUAACUAAUAAUAUAUUUGAUAAUUAUAAUUGAUUACAUUUAAUUAGGAUUUAUUAAGUCUAAUUAAUUUGAUUAUAAAAGGGGUUAAAAUUCAAAAAGGCUACAAUUACAAUUGUUCAAUUAAAUUCAAUGUGGCUAUGAAUUAAAUUCAUACCCAGCUGAUUUAGCCCAAACCACAUGCCCAAAAUGCUUGACCCUUUCCAGAACCCACCUCCUCUGUCCAAGAUGGAAAUCCAUGCUGCCCCUUCUAAGCCAAUGGUAAUGCGCCACGCCAUCCCUUUCCAACACUCACAAAAGAAAUACAAAAUGAUCCGGAUCAUUGAUCCAAUUCAUCAACGGUCCAUAAUUAAUCUCUAUUUUUCUUUUAUUGUUAAACUUUUGCUGGAUCUCAUCUCAACUGUUGGAUCACAAAGAUCAAAAGAUCGUCGUUUUUUCCACAAUAAAUGCUUAUCAAUUUUUCUAAACUCCAAAAAAUUGGAGCCGUUGAUCAAAUGAUCCAACGACUCAUAUUGCAUCUCACUUUUAACCUAAGAGACACCACUAACGCUAAUCAUUCCUCCACAUGACACGCCGCCCUCUUUCCCCAUUCUCUUAGUUUUCUCUCAAUUCUACAAACCCCAUCAAUCCAAAACCUUGCACAAAUUUGUGCAAGGUCACCUAAAUCAAACCAAAUCACCCCUUUUGUCCCCUCAAUCCUCGAAUCCCACCGGAUUAUUUCCAUUUUCACAACUCUAAUUCAAAUUCCCAAAUCUCCGAAACCCUAGACCUAAAACGUUCAAAUGAGAAUACUAUUAUCCUUUAUCUGUUCCUUCAAAUCAAGCAUGCAUGACCAUCGAUCUUCAAUGUCAUCAUCAUUAUUCGUUGUCCAGAAGUCAAACGCAGUGACCUCUGGACAUGGAGCUCUGACCGAUGGUCCUUCACUCUUUAAACGGUCGACUCCUCCUCCAUUAUCAUGAUAACGAAAAUCUCCAUUAUUUUCCCCUCUGUUCUAUUCUAAUUUUCCACUUCUUGCUAUUAUCAUCUGUCAAUCGUCAUUCUCCACUAUCUAUUGAACUCAAACGGAACCCUAGUGACUUGAAUGCCACUAUGAAUAAAGCAUUGAAUACUCACACCUAACAUACCUAAAAACACCAGAAAAUACACUAAAAGUAAUGAAGAGCAUAAAAAUUCAAACUUUCUGCUAAGCUUAAGUUCUAGUAGUACUUAUCUAUUUUCUUAUUUUUCUUUCUUUCAUUUAUGUUCGAGUUCAACCACCGUGAGUUGAUCGUUGUGAGUUUGGGGUUCCUAGACGAUUACUAAUCUCAUUUGCUUGGUUUGUUGCUCCACAGAAGGUCGGUGUAUACUGAACCCCUCUCUUUUAUUUUUUAAAUUAGUUAUUCAAUAUUGUGUUUAUGUUGUUUACCCGAUAAUCACCUGUUUGUUCUUGAUAAUGUAUGGUUCUUCUUAUUAUAACCUGAUAUUCAUGUCACUAUGUUCUUUUAAUAUUAGUGGGUUUCCUGAUAAUUGUGUUGUCUUCAAUGGCUAUUGAACUUUACCUGUCAUGACUUAAUUAGUAAAAAUGCUUAUGCGCUAUUUUUACUCUUAUGAACAAAUCCUAUUGAACCUUUUAUGAUUAUCUGAGCCAAACCUUAUGUUGAUAUUAUGUGUGUUCUAUCCCUGUUAGUUAAAUGAUGGCCAUCCUACCCUGUUAGCUAAAUCGAUUGAGUUAUAUUUUUAAGCUUUCUCCUGAUAUCCUGUUAAGAUAUCACACCUGCUGCACUGUGCUAUCUUGAUCCUUAUGCUUAUGAUAUCAUGUAGCAUUGUUUUUGUUAAAUAAAAUGAAUCUUACCACUGUUCGCACUCUCAUGUUGAUCGUUUUGACUCCAAUUGAUAACUUGUUUAUGAUAAUGUGAUUAAAUGAUUCAUGUGUUUAUUGUGGUGGUCUGAAAUAAAAGAAAUCAUAUAAUGAACCUUGUUGGUCUGCUCACACAUCUGGAUGCAACUUGUUAGGACCAGUUAUGCAAUGAGUGUCACCGUUUUAGCAUCUCAUGACUGUUUUGGCUUUGUGAUAGUAUGUUUCAUCUAUAUUGUUGUAUUGGCUGAAUGAUACCUAUUUGACUUCUGCACCUAUGUCUACACUUAUCAUAUUGUUUCUGCUAAUCCAGUAGUGUUCAGGAACCAUUGCAUUCCUUUAGCUAAGAGAACUUCAUGUUUAAGUCACCAUGUUGGUUUGCUUGUAGUCUCCUAUUAAUCUUCCCUAAUGGUUGCGCUUAUCUCAUCAUGCUAAUCUAAUUACUUAGAUAAAGAGCCUUAGAUAGUAGUCAUGCUUGGUCUAUAUUGAUUAUGUCUAGCUGAAAAAUAAAAAAAUGGCUUGGAUGUUAUCAUGAUAAUCUAAUAAAGGUAUGGGUACAUCUUAACCUUGGGUAUCACAGUAUUCCUACUUGUCAAUUUAAAAUGAUGUUAUGCAUUCAUCUACCUAUUUCGUUUUGGCCAUUUAUGUUUGGUUUUUUAUGAUCGUGUGAUGUCUGAGACAUUAUUCGGGAGGACUUCCCUUGUCAAUUUCAGUAACUGCUCACUUUGGUAACCUAAUAGCUUGACUGAAUGUUGUUGAACAUGUACUAUGCCUGUAGGAUCUCAAAUGGAAGGUUUUGAUGGUAUGCUAUAAUCUCGUAUUUUAGUCACUUAUUGUACUUUAAUGCACUGUACAUUAUUCAUGUUUGAUCUUGAAUUGGUAGUGUUUUGUACUUAUUGUGUAUUUUAUUUCUUGUAGAAGUGCUUCUGAGCUAUGUAGAUGUUGUGGAGCUAAUCCGAGCUAUUUGGAGAUUUAAAGUUUGAGUAAAUGCCCAAAGGAUUCAGCCGAGAUCGUGUUCGGGGGGUCGAGGACCAAGUUUGGAUGUCAAAAAAUGAGAAAACAAAAUUACUCUAAGAAAAUUACACUACCGCCUCGCGCCAUGCGUAGCGGGACGCUAGUUCAAAAUUCCUGUAAAGUAAAAAAAUCAGCUCUCUAGAUUUCCCCACUAAUGUCCCGCAUGGUGCGUCGCCCCAUGCGGCGCGCCUGUGUAAUAUUUACAGAGUUAUUUUCCUAUUUCGGCUAGGAGAAGGUGGUUUAGUCUGGGCCCGACCCUACUUGGUAUAAAUAUAUGGAAAAAUAUUAAUUUCUUGUCUUUUUGACAUACUUUAGACCUAAGGGGGCUAAGGAGGAGUUGUAAGAACACAAGCACAAGGAUUUAAUCAUUCCUUCCUCACUCAAGACCCGAGUUUGGAUCGAAUUUAUGUUUUCCUAUACUUUAAUUUAAUUUGUAAUGAAUUACUCCAUAUCUAUGGAGUAGUUCUCUUUAGGAUUUGCUGGAUUUUGUGUAUUGAUGAUUGUUUGUGGAUUAUAACUCNNN
Molecule: long non-coding RNA, 19756 nt
Filed under: Nicotiana tabacum (common tobacco)
Lineage: Eukaryota; Viridiplantae; Streptophyta; Magnoliopsida; Solanales; Solanaceae
Description: long non-coding RNA (NTAB_LNC010359)
Source: RNAcentral